UACGUAGGGUGCGAGCGUUAAUCGGAAUUACUGGGCGUAAAGCGUGCGCAGGCGGUUUUGUAAGCCAGAUGUGAAAGCCCCGGGCUCAACCUGGGAAUGGCAUUCGGGACUGCAAGGCUUGAGUGCGGCAGAGGAGACUGGAAUUCCAGGUGUAGCGGUGAAAUGCGUAGAUAUCUGGAGGAACACCGGUGGCGAAGGCGGCAUCCUGGACCGGCACUGACGCUGAGGCGCGAAAGCUAGGGUAGCAAACGGG
This 253-nucleotide ribosomal RNA is filed under the name uncultured bacterium. RNAcentral describes it as "partial 16S ribosomal RNA". It matches the Rfam family "Bacterial small subunit ribosomal RNA", at positions 524 to 776 of the family's 1533-position model. The record is from RNAcentral.